GACAUCUCAACAGGAAACGGAACACCCGGUGACCGCUGCCUGCCCUGUUUGUGACCUGUGUCCUUCAGCGUUUAAACUCAUAGAAAGGAGCCUAUAAACGGCGAUUUCGUGACUCUCUACUCUUUCUGAAGCACGUUUACUUCUCCUGACCAAAACGUUUGCUCGCCGACAAUCUACAUAAUUUAGUAGCAAACUGAAUAGUGCUAGCCUGGGGCGAGAAACUCGUCAGUACACUGGAAUGUACUGCGUUAAAAUCCAUGCAAUGGGGCCAAUUCAGAGAUUAGUUGUCGGACAGAGAUCUUGGAGAAACAUCCGCAUCUACACCCUUUAGACCGAAAAUUGAAAGAUAUCUUACUUCGAUCCCGAAUAUUUGGAGUGAAUACAUGAAGAGAGCUUUAAGUGAAGGGACAAGGUAGCCAUAUUCGAACUGUCGAUCGACACAGGUUCAGGGCGAAGUAGCGAUGGAGGAUGCUGAAUGUAAAAUGAACUGAACAAUGACUGAUUUGAAUGGAAUAACGCAGCCAACACUCGUAUAUCAACAAACAUAACGCGUUAUCAAGAGUGCAUACAAUGUCCU
This is a long non-coding RNA of Hermetia illucens (black soldier fly), 577 nucleotides long. RefSeq lists it as uncharacterized. The transcript is spliced from 3 exons. The record is from RefSeq and is a predicted model, not a curated record. NCBI's taxonomy places the organism in Eukaryota, Metazoa, Arthropoda, Insecta, Diptera, Stratiomyidae.